RNAcentral lists this ribosomal RNA (537 nucleotides) under uncultured bacterium. RNAcentral describes it as "bacterial SSU rRNA". It matches the Rfam family "Bacterial small subunit ribosomal RNA", at positions 777 to 1315 of the family's 1533-position model. The record is from RNAcentral.
AAUAGAUACCCAGGUAGUCCACCCGUAAACGUUGGGAACUAGUUGUGGGUCCAUUCCACGGAUUCCGUGACGCAGCUAACGCAUUAAGUUCCCCGCCUGGGGAGUACGGCCGCAAGGCUAAAACUCAAAGGAAUUGACGGGGACCCGCACAAGCGGCGGAGCAUGCGGAUUAAUUCGAUGCAACGCGAAGAACCUUACCAAGGCUUGACAUACACGAGAACGGGCCAGAAAUGGUCAACUCUUUGGACACUCGUGAACAGGUGGUGCAUGGUUGUCGUCAGCUCGUGUCGUGAGAUGUUGGGUUAAGUCCCGCAACGAGCGCAACCCUCGUUCUAUGUUGCCAGCACGUAAUGGUGGGAACUCAUGGGAUACUGCCGGGGUCAACUCGGAGGAAGGUGGGGAUGACGUCAAAUCAUCAUGCCCCUUAUGUCUUGGGCUUCACGCAUGCUACAAUGGCCGGUACAAAGGGCUGCAAUACCGUGAGGUGGAGCGAAUCCCAAAAAGCCGGUCCAGUUCGGAUUGAGGUCUGCAACUCGA